GUGGGGAAUAUUGCACGAUGGGCGAAAGCCUGAUGCAGCAACGCCGCGUGAGUGAUGACGGCCUUCGGGUUGUAAAGCUCUGUCUUUGGGGACGAUAAUGACGGUACCCAAGGAGGAAGCCACGGCUAACUACGUGCCAGCAGCCGCGGUAAUACGUAGGUGGCAAGCGUUGUCCGGAUUUACUGGGCGUAAAGGGUGCGUAGGCGGACCUUUAAGUGAGAUGUGAAAUCCCCGAGCUUAACUUGGGGGCUGCAUUUCAAACUGGAGGUCUAGAGUGCAGGAGAGGAGAGUGGAAUUCCUAGUGUAGCGGUGAAAUGCGUAGAGAUUAGGAAGAACACCAGUGGCGAAGGCGACUCUCUGGACUGUAACUGACGCUGAGGCACGAAAGCGUGGGGAGCAAACAG
Molecule: ribosomal RNA, 404 nt
Filed under: uncultured bacterium
Lineage: Bacteria
Description: bacterial SSU rRNA
Rfam family: Bacterial small subunit ribosomal RNA
Source: RNAcentral